Otolemur garnettii (small-eared galago) is the source of this 106-nucleotide small nuclear RNA. NCBI's taxonomy places the organism in Eukaryota, Metazoa, Chordata, Mammalia, Primates, Galagidae. The record is from Ensembl.
GUACUCACUUUGCAGCAUAUAUUCUAAUGUGGGACAGAUACAGAGAAGAUAAGCGUGGCUCCUAUGCAAGAAUGAUGGGCAAAUUUGUGACGCAUUCCAUUUUUAA